Molecule: long non-coding RNA, 2220 nt
Filed under: Vitis vinifera (wine grape)
Lineage: Eukaryota; Viridiplantae; Streptophyta; Magnoliopsida; Vitales; Vitaceae
Description: long non-coding RNA (VVIN_LNC001928)
Source: RNAcentral
UGGUUGGAUGGAGUCAGGUGCAUAAAAUAGGGACGGUUUUCUCCAAGGUGAGUUGCUGCAACAGUUCCACAGGGAACGCAAGUCUUUAUGGUGUAAUGCCAUCAGUGCAUAAUGAAUUGCAUAGCAAUGUAUGGGAUGCCAAUACUGCAGUAAGGACACCUCAUUUACAAAGGGACAGCUUCUCUUCGUCUAUUUGGAAGCUUAUUUUGUAGGCUUUCAUUUCCUAUCCUUGUUUCCCUCAAAGAAUUUCUCAUCCUUUUUCUGCAUAUUGGCUUGGAAGGCUGCUCCUUUGUGCUUAUUUUGGACUAUUUAGAGAGAGAAAAUUAGGAGAGUUUUGGUGCCUUGGUGCCUUUUGCACAUCACGUAUGCUUUUGUUAGGCGUUGUUAGUAUAAUUGGUCUUUACCUAUUAAAAUAAAAACAUUUUUUCUACAUGUUCUUCCACAUUUUGGUAUUUUAAUGAGAUUUCAAAUGUCUAGAAAAACAAGGAUUCCAUUAAGGAUUAAGUCAUGCUAACCUAAAAGAGUCUCUUUGACCAUGGAGGGUAACACCCAAACUACACCAAACAAAGAGAAGAGAAACCACCAUGAAAACCUUGUUUUGACACAAUGAUGGAGAAUGUAAUCAACCGAUUCCUCUUAACCUUUACAAAGAAAGCAUUUAUUCAAGAAGGAAACAGCCACAACCUAAAUCAAAGCAAGUCCAAGACUCGGAUCCCAUAAUAAGUACUGAAUUGUUCCCUUCUAAUUUGCCUUCUUUGAAGGUCAAGAACAUACUGGAAAAUGAUAGUACCCAUGAUGAUCAUUUUUUUUUUUUUUUUUUUGAUAGGAAACCACACUAGAAUAUAUUGAUAGAAAAGAAGUACAAAAGGAGGAUGAGAAAUCCUCCCUCCAAAAGAAAACUAGACAACAAGAAAAAAUAACAAAGCACUAGACCGUCCCAAUAGAACUAUUUGAACAACACACUGAUAGCCAAUCAAGUUGUAGUACGUUAAGGGGGGUGCCCUUAAAACCCGCUGAACAAAACGCCCAAAGGGACGCAAGGAAAUGAAUGGAAUCCCAAAGAUUCCCUGCAUUCCUAGCCUUGUCCUCAAAUAUCCUAGCGUUUCUUUCACGCCACACAACCCAGAUUAACGCUAUACUCGCGUUUUGCCAUAGAAUUACCCCUCUCUUGGACUUGCCAAAUCCUUUGUAAUUGAUGAACAUCAUGUCUGAAAUGCUUUUCGGAGGAACCCAAUCCAUCUUGGCUAGCUGAAAAAGUCUGUGCCACAACCCCAACAUAACUGAGCAAUGAAGGAAGAGAUGAUCUGCUGAUUCUCCUUGUUCCAUACACAACUUACAUAUGUCAGGGCUAAUAGCUUUGUGGGGUCUCCUCAAUUGUAACGAGUCAUUGGUAUUCACCUUCUUAUGUGCCACAAGCCAGAUAAAGGCCUUAACUUUGAAAGGGACUUGAGAUUUCCAAACAAACUAAGUGGGGAAAAAUGGAGAUGAAUCAGGCAUUUGGGACAGGGCUGUAAAGAAAGAUCUGACUGUGAACAAACCUGAAGAACAUAAGGACCAUGAUCUCGCGUCUGAAGCUGAAGUGGAUAAGUUCAUACAAUCUAGAGAGUGCAUGAGGCGCUCUAGAUCUUCUAUCUCAGAAUCGGUUAGAUUACGACGGAAAUUAAAGUUCCAUGAGAAAGGGCGAGACGAACCAAGGAUUGAAGAUAUUGGAAUAUUUUUAUCCAUUACUACUCGAAAUAGUCUUGGAUAUUGGUCUUUUAAAAUUUGGUCCCCCCACCACAAAUCUUCCCAAAAGCGAAUUCUUUCCCCAUCUCCUACGAUAAACCGAGUAUACUUGGAAAAAUCCUGAAAGCCUUGUGCUAUGGCCUUCCAAGGACAGCGGUGUGACCAUCUGACUAUAGUAUUGGCAUCCCAACCAUUUGAGUGUGUCCCAUAUAUGUUAAGAAUGACUUGAUGCCAAAGAGAUGUACUCUCCCUAGAGAACCUCCACAACCAUUUCCCUAGAAGAGCACGAUUCCUUAAAGGAAUUUUCCCAAUCCCCAAACCUCCUAUAAUCCUCGGCUUGCAUACUGCUUCCCACCUAACAAGAUGAUCUCUUUUACCUUCCCCAACCCCUGACCAUAGAAAGUCCCUUUGUAACCUCUCUAUUUUUGCAGCCACUGAAGCUGGAAUCUUAAACAAAGAAAGGAAGUAGCUUGGGAUAUGGGAAAGGCAAGAGUG